GUGUCCUUUAAGUUCUUGGACAGCAGGCACAGUCACCAUGGACAAGCUACCACAUAGACUUCAUACUCUGCGUUCCAGUCCAGGGACUUGAGCAUGACGUGGUCACUGCCGGAUGGGAGCCUGAUUUCCGGUUUCCACUCAGAGGCGAGCUUCUGGGAGCAGUCGGCAGGAAGGACAGAAGACACCAGGGAAGAAACAUAAUGGCUUAAUUAUGUAAAACAGCGACUUCAAAUAUUUUCCUACCAUCAUUCCUCAGCAUGUAAAAAGGGCUUGCAAGUGGGAAACAUCUAGAGAACCCAGGAGCAGCAUGGGGGUCGAGGGGCAGAGCGCUCUCUCUCACACUCCCAUCCAUUCCCUAAGCUAUGCGGAUUCAGCACAGGUGCUGACUGGCUGCAUGGAGAUGCAACCACCACUGCUAUUCCAGGGUGCUGAAGGCAUAGGUGUAAGCCCAGCGAGCAGAGGCCCGGUCCACAGUUGCUCACAUGCAACACAGUGUCUUUUUCUCAACUCUGCCUAGGGCAAGUACUGCCCAAAACACUUGUCCCGCUGUUCUAUAUUUCAAGCCGUGCAUCAGUUUGGUGACUAACUGAUGUCACACAGGAUAGGAAAUCUUUUCCUAUAAAGCAUCAUCAUGCUGUUGCUAUGGAGUCGUUAUAGGAGGCUGUCAUUUAAAAUGUCAGUAUUGGACAUCUACACAUGCCUGCAAAUCUACUGACGGGAAUCGAUUCCAUGAAAUUUUAUUUUAAACUUGGCGAUGACUGGAUUCACAGUAAACACUCAAAUGGAUAAUGCCGAUUGACACUAA
This 805-nucleotide long non-coding RNA is filed under the name Mus musculus (house mouse). RNAcentral's name for it is "predicted gene 11149". Lineage: Eukaryota; Metazoa; Chordata; Mammalia; Rodentia; Muridae. The record is from RNAcentral.